Non-coding RNA from Lachnospiraceae bacterium JC7, 73 nucleotides. The record is from Rfam. Lineage: Bacteria; Bacillati; Bacillota; Clostridia; Lachnospirales; Lachnospiraceae.
GCUACUGUAGCACAGUCGGUAGUGCAUCUGAUUCGUAAUCAGAAGGUCACCGGUUCAAGUCCGGUCAGUAGCU